Molecule: transfer-messenger RNA, 349 nt
Filed under: bacterium
Lineage: Bacteria
Also listed under: 1 other name
Description: JAGMBO01 sp023129715 Standard tmRNA
Rfam family: transfer-messenger RNA
About the family: Bacterial tmRNA, also known as 10Sa RNA or SsrA, is named for its dual tRNA and mRNA-like properties. Its role is to liberate the mRNA from a stalled ribosome. To accomplish this part of the tmRNA is used as a reading frame that ends in a translation stop signal.
Source: RNAcentral
GGGGGCGAAUUGGGUUCGACGGGGAGAAUGAGUCCUGUGCUGCGUGCCGAGGUCCCUACUGGCUCGUUAAACAAGUAGGGAAAACACAAUUGCCGACUAUGAGCCGGCACUAGCUGCAGCCUAAUGCAGCUCGCCUCCAGCACCUGCGCCCGCGGGGGUGUUGAGCGGCGCUGUCACCGUGAGCUAGCGGCUCGCCUGCCCGAGGCGGACCGCGAAACUUCCAGGGCUGGCCGGACGGGAAUCCCGCUCACUGGAGUCCCGGACGGUGAGAUCAAACAGUGAGAUACGCACGUAGAUGCACUUGAUGAAUCUCUUCCGGACGCGGGUUCGAUUCCCGCCGCCUCCACAG